Long non-coding RNA from Clupea harengus (Atlantic herring), 386 nucleotides. Lineage: Eukaryota; Metazoa; Chordata; Actinopteri; Clupeiformes; Clupeidae. The record is from Ensembl.
UUGAGGAGUUCAGGGUGGCUGGCUUGAGACCAAUGGGGGUGUCGGUGAGAACACACGUGUCCAGUCAGGAUUCACAGUUCAAUUUGUUUAUUGGAGUUUCCAGUGAGGAUAUGAGUAGGACUGUAUGGAUGUGUGUGUACAAGCAUGUGUGUGUAAUAGGAAGGUGUGUGUGAGGAAGGCGUGUGUGUGAGAUAGGAAGGCGUGUGUGUGAGGAAGGCGUGUGUGUGAGGAAGGCGUGUGUGUGUGAUAGGAAGGCGUGUGUGUGAGGAAGGCGUGUGUGUGAGGAAGGCGUGUGUGUGAGAGAGGAAGGCGUGUGUGUGAGAUAGGAAGGCAUGUGUGUAAGGAAGGCGUGUGUGAGGAAGGCGUUGUGUGUGGUUUAUGUUUCA